UGUAAGCGUAUACCAAAGUUGUUGCAGUUAAAACGCUCGUAGUCGGAAUUUGGCAGUUCCGGAUGUGUGCACGUCGUGUGCGCACUUCGCGGGGAUUGCUUUUGUGGUCUUGCGUAGGAUGAGGCACUUUUAUUAGUGAACGUCCUCACGCAACCACUUUUUACUGUGAGAGAAUCAGAGUGCUCAAAGCAGGCAUUUGCCGUGAAUGUAUUAGCAUGGAAUAAUAGAAUAGGACUUGGUUCUAUUUUGUUGGUUUGUUGGGACUGAGUAAUGAUUAAGAGGGACAGUUGGGGGCAUUUGUAUUUCGGUGCUAGAGGUGAAAUUCUUAGAUUACCGAAAGACAAACUGCUGCGAAAGCGUCUGCCAAGGACGUUUUCAUUGA
RNAcentral lists this ribosomal RNA (382 nucleotides) under uncultured eukaryote. Its description in RNAcentral is "partial 18S ribosomal RNA". It matches the Rfam family "Eukaryotic small subunit ribosomal RNA", at positions 592 to 976 of the family's 1831-position model. The record is from RNAcentral.